ACUAUUUUGACAGAAAAAUGUGAUGGUUUUAGAAGUCAUUAAUAUAUAAUAAUAAUAAUAAUAAUUAUAUAAGUAGUA
RNAcentral lists this transfer RNA (78 nucleotides) under Gynaephora menyuanensis. RNAcentral's name for it is "tRNA-Leu". RNAcentral also lists the same sequence under 3 other names. Lineage: Eukaryota; Metazoa; Arthropoda; Insecta; Lepidoptera; Erebidae. The record is from RNAcentral.